This 28-nucleotide small RNA is filed under the name Bombyx mori (domestic silkworm). Its description in RNAcentral is "ovarian small RNA-19093". Lineage: Eukaryota; Metazoa; Arthropoda; Insecta; Lepidoptera; Bombycidae. The record is from RNAcentral.
UAAGAAAUGAGUACAAAAUAAUGGUCAA